CUGACGGAGCAACGCCGCGUGAGUGAAGACGGCCUUCGGGUGGUAAAGCUCUGUGAUCCGGGACGAAAGAGCGCCAUACGAAGAAUAUGGCGAAGUGACGGUACCGUAGAAGAAAGCCACGGCUAACUACGUGCCAGUAGCCGCGGUAAUACGUAGGUGGCAAGCGUUGUCCGGAAUUAUUGGGCGUAAAGGGCGCGCAGGCGGCUUCCCAAGUCCCUCUUAAAAGUGCGGGGCUUAACCCCGUGAUGGGAAGGAAACUGGGAAGCUGGAGUAUCGGAGAGGAAAGUGGAAUUCCUAGUGUAGCGGUGAAAUGCGUAGAGAUUAGGAAGAACACCGGUGGCGAAGGCGACUUUCUGGACGAAAACUGACGCUGAGGCGCGAAAGCGUGGGGAGCAAACAGGAUUAGAUACCCUGGUAGUCCACGCCGUAAACGAUGGAUACUAGGUGUAGGAGGUAUCGACCCCUUCCGUGCCGGAGUUAACGCAAUAAGUACCCCGCCUGGGGAGUACGGCGC
Molecule: ribosomal RNA, 514 nt
Filed under: Dialister sp. oral taxon 119
Lineage: Bacteria; Bacillati; Bacillota; Negativicutes; Veillonellales; Veillonellaceae
Description: bacterial SSU rRNA
Rfam family: Bacterial small subunit ribosomal RNA
Source: RNAcentral